CGCCUGCCGGCGACCGGCGCACGGGUGAGUAACACGUAUGCGACCUGCCCCCGCAGGGGGAUAACCGGGAGAAAUCCCGACUAAUACCGCGUAACGCCGCGGGACCUGCAUGGGUCUGCGGCCAAAGGAAGCGAUUCCGGCGGGGGAUGGGCAUGCGGCGCAUUAGCUAGUCGGCGGGGUAACGGCCCACCGAGGCGACGAUGCGUAGGGGUUCUGAGAGGAAGGUCCCCCACACUGGUACUGAGACACGGACCAGACUCCUACGGGAGGCAGCAG
RNAcentral lists this ribosomal RNA (276 nucleotides) under uncultured bacterium. RNAcentral describes it as "partial 16S ribosomal RNA". It matches the Rfam family "Bacterial small subunit ribosomal RNA", at positions 82 to 354 of the family's 1533-position model. The record is from RNAcentral.